UCUAACUUCUCGUGAUUAUGUGAGGUAUAGCAGCAUUGUAGCAUGCAAAUGAGCAAGCAAUAACCAUCCAAUAAUAAGAGUGCGACACAUCCUCCUAACACAGUUGACUGUCUCUAUACUGUAGAUCACGUUCGUCACUUCUCAAUUUGGCACUCGUAUGUUAUGAAGUAAUUUUUUUUUGCUCGUGUACUUUUCAGAGUUAGGCGUUUUUUAAAGUGGAAGUAUUUAUUACUGAAUUUUCGAUUAACAACAUUUUCUACACCUGCAGAUUUUGUGGACAUUUAUUUCCACUUUAUUAUUUCAUUAGCAUCAGUAACUUCCAUUCUGUCUAGUGUGAGAUAUAAUGUUGGGGUCGGGUUUGUAUUUGUGUGUUAGAAGAUGUGAUGGCUUUUGUGUGGCAGGUGGGGGAGUGGUUCAUGCAGCUUAGACCUUCUUUUGUACCAGACCAUACUCCACCCAUGUUUUGCAUUCGCUUAGGAAGAGAUUUUGCCGUUUUCUUGCAUCUACUUAAGCCUUUUGCGUAAUUUCAGGACUAGGUUUUCCAGGUAUGUUUCACUCAUCUUUGUUAUUCAUUCCCUGCUCCUUUUUAUUUUGUUUUUACUUUCUAUCAAGAUAUAUUCAUCUGUCUUCAACUCCUUUUACCACUAUUUUGGUGCAGGUAUACAUUGCUCUCUUUCCUUUGUUACGUCUUAUUACUAGGCCUAACUUUAUUCUGUAUUGCCUUUCUUUGCCUUUUCAACUCUGGAUUUCUUUUCUUCUGACUUGGGUAUCAGAUCCUCUGUCUUUUGUUUAUCUUUUUUUAGUCUUAAAUUUCCCACUUUCCUCUUGCACUCUUUACUCUUCUUCAUCAUUUUUUCCUCCAUUCAAUUUCUUUCCAUGGCAGUCUACCAUUCUCCUCAGGGGUUUUCAUUGGAUGUUUGUUCACUGAUCAUCUCUUUAGUAGCAUAUUUUUCUUCCUCGGACUUAUCCUUUCAUAUUUGAUUGAUCUGUUUCUAGAGGUUUUUUUGGGAUUUAUGGCCUCUUUACUCAAGUCCUUUUGUCUCCCUUUUAUCUGCUAUGCUUUCAUCUGCCUGUGUGAUUUUACUGGGGGUGCUCGUUUCUCAGGGAUCAUAUGUUGGAGCUGCAUGCCAAUGAUCUUCAUUAUCCUUAUUGUUUUACUGGUCUCUCCUGUGCUCCUUUUUUCCCUUCUCUCUCUGCUUUCUCCCUGCUUCCUCGUUUUUUUUCCUUGUCUCCACUUCCCUUUCCUGUGUUCCCAUCUGUCUUCCCACUGAUUGCAAAUUUCAUUACUAUCAGUCUUUGUAGUGACUUCCUAUAAGCUCAGGGUUGGUGAGUCCUGUUUCCUUAGGUUUGUGAACCUUUUCCCUCCAUUUGUGAAGUUUUGUCAAAUCGCCUUACCCUUUGUUUAUUUCCUCUCCUACUCCUUUGUUUCCUAUUCCUGUUACUUCCCUCCAUCUCCUCUUGUUUUUUGCCAACAUUCAUAGCAGUGUUAGAUAUAAUAACUUAAGGAUCUAUUGGAUGGGUUUCUCAUCCUUUUCUGGGAGCUAUUCCCAUUUUUUCAUGGUCCCCGAGGAAUCCAUAGCUAGACAUCUGUUUUUAGUCAUUUUAUGUCUCAGGCAGUUUCUCGACCUCCCUAGAUUUAUCAUGGGGACUUUUCUAACUUUACGGUGGUCUUUUGCCUCAGGUCUUGAGUUGAUUGAGGUGAGCUUCUGGAUGUUCUUUUUCUCAUUACAAUUGGGUCCAUGUGUGUCUGUCUCUUUGUAUUUCGCAUGCGUAUAUAUAAAAAUAAUAUACUGAGGUAUACAAAAUUUUUACACAAGAUGGGAAGUAAGUAUGGGACAGUCCUCUCCAAAUUUAAUCCAGAUCCAAAUUUGGAUUUUGGAACACACUUGCCUAAGCUCAAAGUGAUGAAUGUGAUCUACAGUAUAGAGGAAGUCAGCAGAGCUGUAAUGGUGUGUCACACUCCUAUUGGUGGAAGGUUAUCACAUGCUGAUUUGCAUGCUACAACAGAGCUAUAUCAUGUGAAAGUAGGUGGGAUCCUCAAGAUUAGUGGCAAGCAAAAAUUGCACAUGUAAAAGGCAGCACUAAUCAAGGAAAACUAUUAGAAUGAAUUAUGCAAGAGUUAGGAUUUUGAUUAAUGAAGAUGUUUUGGUUCACAAAUACCAUCCAAGAUAUGAGGAUGUGGAACUAUUCAGUUACAUUGGUGGAUAUCUUGGAAUUUGGCUUGGUAUCUCACUGAAAAAUGUACUGGAUGUGAUCAUUGAUAGCAGCAUUAAACUGAAUAACUGGUUCAUAAAUCUAAAAAAGGAACGAUUAUCAAAGGCUACAGUACUGAGUCAACAAGUUGUGGCUACUACAGAUAUGAUGGAAAAAUAACAUAAUUUCAAGAAAAGAUGUAGUGGAUUCUAAAUCAGUUAUUAUAUUAGUUUGUUCUACAAUUUUAUGGUAUAAAAUGCACACUUAACUAUAUACUUUUUUGUGUCAAGAAAAUAUUUGAAAUCCAAAUUGAUCCAAAUGCAGAAUAAUUAUUAUAAAGUACACCAUAUGUUAGCUUUUUGAUUUAUUUUUAACUUGAUGACAGUUAUGUUAUCAGGAUCUAAGUUUCUUAUUUUACAUUUUCACUCCUACUUUUUUGUAUGUUAAAAAGUUUAGUGUGUGCUCAAAUAUGGAUUUUUUAUUUAUUUAAAGAAAAAGCCUGUUCCCCAUGGUUGAGUACUUUCAGUAAUUAGUAUACACACACAUAUAUAUAUAUUGUUACGCCCCCGUUCGUUAGUUAAUUUUCUGUAUAAUUUCUUUCUGAAGAA
This 2801-nucleotide long non-coding RNA is filed under the name Limulus polyphemus (Atlantic horseshoe crab). Its description in RNAcentral is "uncharacterized LOC111083168". Lineage: Eukaryota; Metazoa; Arthropoda; Merostomata; Xiphosura; Limulidae. The record is from RNAcentral.